Molecule: ribosomal RNA, 491 nt
Filed under: uncultured bacterium
Lineage: Bacteria
Description: partial 16S ribosomal RNA
Rfam family: Bacterial small subunit ribosomal RNA
Source: RNAcentral
GAUGAACGCUAGCUACAGGCUUAACACAUGCAAGUCGAGCGGAAACGCCAUCGAAAGCUUGCUUUUGAUGGGCGUCGACCGGCGCACGGGUGAGUAACGCGUAUCCAACCUGCCCAUCACUUGGGAAUAACCUUGCGAAAGUAAGACUAAUACCCAAUGAUAUCCCACGAAGGCAUCGGAAUGGGAUUAAAGAUUUAUCGGUGAUGGGUGGGGAUGCGUCUGAUUAGCUUGUUGGCGGGGAACGGUCCGACAAGGGCACGAUCAGGAAGGGUUCCGAGAGGAAGGUGCCCGACAUUGGAACUGGGACACGGUCCAAACUCCUACGGGAGGCAGCAGUGAGGGAGAUAGGAGAAGGGGAGAGAGCCUGAUCCAGCCAAGUAGGGUGCAGGAAGGCGGCCCUAUGGGUUGUAACCUGCUUUUAGAAGGGAAUAAAGUGGGUCACGGGUGACUUUUUGAAUGUACCUUAUAAAUAAGGACCGGCUAAUUCCGUG